This 550-nucleotide ribosomal RNA is filed under the name uncultured bacterium. RNAcentral's name for it is "bacterial SSU rRNA". It matches the Rfam family "Bacterial small subunit ribosomal RNA", at positions 355 to 896 of the family's 1533-position model. The record is from RNAcentral.
UGGGGAAUAUUGGACAAUGGGCGCAAGCCUGAUCCAGCCAUACCGCGUGGGUGAAGAAGGCCUUCGGGUUGUAAAGCCCUUUUGUUGGGAAAGAAAUCCAGCCGGCUAAUACCUGGUUGGGAUGACGGUACCCAAAGGAUAAGCACCGGCUAACUUCGUGCCAGCAGCCGCGGUAAUACGAAGGGUGCAAGCGUUACUCGGAAUUACUGGGCGUAAAGCGUGCGUAGGUGGUCGUUUAAGUCCGUUGUGAAAGCCCUGGGCUCAACCUGGGAACUGCAGUGGAUACUGGGCGACUAGAGUGUGGUAGAGGGUAGCGGAAUUCCUGGUGUAGCAGUGAAAUGCGUAGAGAUCAGGAGGAACAUCCAUGGCGAAGGCAGCUACCUGGACCAACACUGACACUGAGGCACGAAAGCGUGGGGAGCAAACAGGAUUAGAUACCCUGGUAGUCCACGCCCUAAACGAUGCGAACUGGAUGUUGGGUGCAAUUUGGCACGCAGUAUCGAAGCUAACGCGUUAAGUUCGCCGCCUGGGGAGUACGGUCGCAAGACUG